This 593-nucleotide ribosomal RNA is filed under the name Entamoeba sp. RL9. RNAcentral describes it as "bacterial SSU rRNA". It matches the Rfam family "Eukaryotic small subunit ribosomal RNA", at positions 5 to 605 of the family's 1831-position model. The record is from RNAcentral. Lineage: Eukaryota; Evosea; Mastigamoebida; Endamoebidae.
UUGUUGAUCCCGCCAGUAUUAUAUGCUCAUGUUAAAGAUUAAGCCAUGCAUGUGUAAGUUUAAAGUCCAAGUAGGAUGAAACUGCGGACGGCUCAUUAUAACAGUUAUAGUUUCUUUGGUUAGUAAAAUAUAAGGAUAACUUUGUGAAUGAUAAAGCUAAUACUUGAGACGAUCUGGAUUGUAGUAAUACAAUUCGGCCGUUGGCAGCAAUGCCGCGAGAAAUGAUAUUCUUUAUGAAUAGGGAUACCAUGACAAUUGUAGAGUACACAGUGCUUAACAAGUAACCAAUGAGAAUUUCUGAUCUAUCAAUUUGUUGGUAGUAUCGAGGACUACCAAGAUUAUAACGGAUAACGAGGAAUUUGGGUUCGACAUCGGAGAGGGAGCUUUACAGAUGGCUACCACUUCCAAGGAAGGCAGCAGGCGCGUAAAUUACCCACCUUCGACGCGAAGAGGUAGUGACGACAAAUAACUCUUGGGGUCCCUUUGGGACUUCUUGAAGGAAUGACUUAGAAGCAAAGUCUCUAAGGAAAUCAAUUGGAGGGCAAGUCUGGUGCCAGCAGCCGCGGUAAUUCCAGCUCCAAUAGUGAAGUGAG